Molecule: long non-coding RNA, 851 nt
Organism: Wyeomyia smithii (pitcher-plant mosquito)
Lineage: Eukaryota; Metazoa; Arthropoda; Insecta; Diptera; Culicidae
Exons: 3
Source: RefSeq, a predicted model, not a curated record
UCAAAAGCUAGUGACUAUUGCAGUCGACAAUCUCAGAUCCCGUGAUGGAUAGCUGUCCGGCUCAGACGAUCAGUCGACGACGAUCUAUUUAACAUAACAAAAAGUGUCCGGUAGCAGUGCUUGAAAGUUGGAAUCAGCAGCGCGGAGAGAAGAAAAAAGUGCUUUUAUACAGUUCAUCCAUUCGUCAUCUGGUUCCACAUUUAUUUUGCGUGAUAAUAAUUUCUUUGCCAUGCUGAUGGACAAUGAAGGCAGAAAGUAGAAGACAAGUUUGAAGAACUCCAGCAACGAAUUGAUGGGCGAUAUUUUUUCACAACUUGGGAAAGAGAAAAUAUAUAUUUUUAUUUUCGAGGUACAAUGCAAUUAAUGUUGACCCGCUGAGUCUCUAUCAUGAUCACCGCGAGCCUCUGCAAUAAAAUAGCGUUUCGGGGAAACGGCCAUUACUCCGGUAAUAAUUGAAAAAUACCCCUUUGAUGCAAUGAAAAUGGUGCUAUGCCCUUAAAAAUAAAUUCAAACUUCCCUCAUUUUUCUCGGUCAAAAAGGUAUAUAAUCCCUUAAGAAGAGAGAGAAGAUAGUUCAGAGAAAAAAAAACCAAAACAAAAAUUCAAAAAUGCAUUUGAAGGUGAGCGAAACACGCAUUUCAAUCUUUACUCAAGAAACAAAAUAACUCCAAAUUCAGGUAGAACCACGAAAAAUAUAAGUGCUUGAUUUCAGUUUGACAGAAAGCGACCAAAAGCAUCGGGAACAAACAAAACGGUUAGAAUAAAUCAUAUCAGAAAUGAGCUAAAAAAUAAAUGGGUCAUUCCAUCUCAGGUGUGCACACCUCAUGAGAAAAACUCAAGUUACAGCAUUCU